This 65-nucleotide transfer RNA is filed under the name Dipodomys ordii (Ord's kangaroo rat). It matches the Rfam family "tRNA". From Rfam's summary of the family: Transfer RNA (tRNA) molecules are approximately 80 nucleotides in length. Their secondary structure includes four short double-helical elements and three loops (D, anti-codon, and T loops). Lineage: Eukaryota; Metazoa; Chordata; Mammalia; Rodentia; Heteromyidae. The record is from Rfam by way of RNAcentral.
GGUGGCUCAGUUGUAGAGCACUUGCCUCACAUGCAUAAAGCCCUGGGUUCGAUUCCUCAGCACCA